RNAcentral lists this ribosomal RNA (524 nucleotides) under Oropogon mexicanus. Its description in RNAcentral is "eukaryotic LSU rRNA". It matches the Rfam family "Eukaryotic large subunit ribosomal RNA", at positions 112 to 650 of the family's 3401-position model. Lineage: Eukaryota; Fungi; Ascomycota; Lecanoromycetes; Lecanorales; Parmeliaceae. The record is from RNAcentral.
AAUUUGAAAUCUGGCCCCUUCGGGGUCCGAGUUGUAAUUUGUAGAGAGUGCUUCGGGCGAGGUUGCGGUCUAAGUCCAUUGGAACAUGGCGUCGUAGAGGGUGAGAAUCCCGUAUGCGACCGCGGACCGAGCCCAUGUGAAGCCUCCUCGACGAGUCGAGUUGUUUGGGAAUGCAGCUCAAAACGGGUGGUAUAUUUCAUCUAAAGCUAAAUAUUGGCUGGAGACCGAUAGCGCACAAGUAGAGUGAUCGAAAGAUGAAAAGCACUUUGGAAAGAGAGUCAAACAGUACGUGAAAUUGUUGAAAGGGAAGCGCUUGCAACCAGACCUGCCCGGGGGCGAUCAGCCGCUGUUCUCAGCGGUGCACUCGUUCCCCGAUCAGGCCAGCAUCGGUUCCGGCGGUCGGACAAAGGCCCCGGGAAUGUAGCUCCCCUCGGGGAGUCUUAUAGCCCGGGGCGCAAUGCGGCCAGCCGGGACCGAGGACCGCGCUUCGGCUAGGAUGCUGGCGUAAUGGUUGUCAGCGACCC